CAAUUGGAGGGCAAGUCUGGUGCCAGCAGCCGCGGUAAUUCCAGCUCCAAUAGCGUAUAUUAAAAUUGUUGCAGUUAAAACGCUCGUAGUUGAAUUUCAAAGAACCAAUAUUUUAAUAACGCCGUUAGCUAGAUCCACAAGGGGUUGAGCCAAUCACGGUUUCGGCUUCUGUGCGCAUCCUACCUAUCAAGCGUUUUUUUAAUUAAAGUGUUUCUUUUUAAAAUCUUCUUUACCUUAACCAUAUGGAAGAUUUUGUUACUUUGAGUAAAUUAAAGUGUUCAUAGCAAACAGAUACAGCAUUGCGCGUUUUGAAUACUACAGCAUGGAAUAACAAAAUUGAACAAGUCAAAACUAUGUUUCUUUUUUUUUAUUUUUGGCUUAGUUACGAUUAAUAGGAGUAGUUUGGGGACAUUUGUAUUCAGAUGUCAGAGGUGAAAUUCUAAGAUUUUCUGGAGACAAACAACUGCGAAGGCAUUUGUCUAAAAUACUUCCAUUAAUCAAGAACGAAAGUUAAGGGAGUGAAGACGAUCAGAUACCGUCGUAAUCUU
RNAcentral lists this ribosomal RNA (548 nucleotides) under Plasmodium vivax (malaria parasite P. vivax). RNAcentral describes it as "SSU rRNA". It matches the Rfam family "Eukaryotic small subunit ribosomal RNA", at positions 545 to 1027 of the family's 1831-position model. Lineage: Eukaryota; Apicomplexa; Aconoidasida; Haemosporida; Plasmodiidae. The record is from RNAcentral.